UUAUAUUAAGAAAAAAAUUAUAAGAGUUAGUCAGUUAAUUUUUAUCGUCACGAUUUAAACACAAUAUAUAAAAUAAGAUCGCAUAAUGUACAUAUGUUAUAAAAAAAGAACUCACAAGCGGUCGGGAUUGUGUACCAGAGCUAGUCAACAUCGAAAAUGAAACGCGGUUCGUCAUUACGCGGUUCGCCAUUCAGAGUAUUACUGUGUGCAAGGCAAUUUGAGUUAAAGGACUCAACAAUAAAAAUAAUUAUAAUUAACGCAAUAGAAAUACUGAAGCGUAUUGGAUAUUAUAUUUUGGAUCCACUCCACAUCGAGAAAUCAUUUUCUAUUAAUAAUUGUAUCGAAGAUUCACGGCUUGUCGUCAAGAUUCUCCAGAAUGAAAGGUUUCAAAACAAACAAACAAAAAACAACAAAAACUACAGGGUUCCUUAAUCUUAUUGGGCUAUAUUUUGGGUUUACUUAACAUCGACCAAACACUAAUCCGUAAUACUUCCAUUACAUUUUCAACAUUUGUUUCUAGGGUGCAAAAAAUUGGUUUCAUAAAAAGUGUUGAAAAUUGGUUAUAACAAAAAUAACCACAAAUUAAAUAAAAUAUCUACAUAUAUCUAUAGUAUAAAUACAUAUAUGACUAAUAUUGUUGUGAACAUUAACCAGCAUAUUUUGAUUUGAUUUAAAAUUCACAAUGAAUCUCACACAAUAGUGAUUUUAUCAGAGACGAGUGGCUGCAGAAUAUAGUCCCGCCCAUUUGCUCUGAUAUGAUUUUAAAUCUGUGUGGACAUUAUAUUGAUUUUUUUGUGAUUCUGCAUCAAAUAACCUGCAUGGACUCUUAUGAAAGGAAGUAAAACAUUUGUAAAGAAGGGUUUUAGAAGAUUGAUUUACUUCUAAUAAUUGCUUAAGAAUGUGGGAUGUUUCUUCGCAACAAGUUUCUUUAAUACUUUUUAUAUAUGUCUAUUUACAGAGAUUUACUUUUGCUCUACAAUUUGUAAUAUGAUUGGAUGAUUAAUUCUAUGGAAACAUGCUUUUGAAUUCAACUAUAUAUACACAUAAUACUUUUCAAUGUAUCUACCAUAUAUUGAAAGACGUCGCUAUACAAUAAACUUCUGAUAUGAAAAUUCUGUUAAAUAUUUUCAACUCACUGGCUCAUAUGGCAACUAUAACAUAUGGUCAUACAUAGCAACUUCUCGGAAUUUAAUAUAGAUUUGUACUUGAUCGUAACAUAUGUUCUUGAUUGAUUAGUUCGCAGAAUUGGAAAUUUGAACUUUAUUGCGGAAUUGUUUAUGUCAGCGUGGAGAGAAAAGUUAUCUUCAAUAUAUAUAUAUAGAAUUU
Long non-coding RNA from Teleopsis dalmanni, 1326 nucleotides. RefSeq lists it as uncharacterized. Lineage: Eukaryota; Metazoa; Arthropoda; Insecta; Diptera; Diopsidae. The record is from RefSeq and is a predicted model, not a curated record. The transcript has 4 exons.